RNAcentral lists this ribosomal RNA (508 nucleotides) under Tachysoniscus cf. austriacus. Its description in RNAcentral is "partial large subunit ribosomal RNA". It matches the Rfam family "Eukaryotic large subunit ribosomal RNA", at positions 680 to 905 of the family's 3401-position model. The record is from RNAcentral. Lineage: Eukaryota; Metazoa; Arthropoda; Malacostraca; Isopoda; Trichoniscidae.
AUAUGCGCGAGUCAAAGGGCUGGCUAACCCCAAAGGCGAAACGAAAGUGAAUGAGGAGAGAGUAGGGUUAUUUAUUUAGCCUUCUUUGCUCUUUCUCUAGGGCCGAUCCGGUUCGGGCGCAAGCUCGAUUUACCUCAGUUUAAACCUAGGAGGACGGCGCAGGUCCGGGGCUCGCUAGCUUCCUCCCCGCUGUUAACGUUAACUUAUGGCGUUAUACUCGCGGCAGUCUUCAGGUGGCUCUUCUUCCAGCAGCCAGCCUGUUCGAUCUAGCUGCGUUCGGCUUCACCGCUGGGCGUUAGCGACGUGAGAGAGAGGCGGAUGUUGUUGGGAGGUUCGGGAGUCUGCCUAGCUGUGGCGGGGCGUUGACGGUUUGCGGGCAGGGACGAACGGCGGGUACCUUGAGCGCAUAUUCUAGUACCCGAAAGAUGGUGAUCUAUGCCUGGCGAGGAUGAAGCCAGAGGAAACUCUGGUGGAGGUCCGUAGCGAUUCUGACGUGCAAAUCGAUCGU